CCUACGGGAGGCAGCAGUGGGGAAUAUUGCACAAUGGGGGGAACCCUGAUGCAGCGACGCCGCGUGGGUGAAGGAGCUUUUCGGCUCGUAAAGCCCUAUCGGCAGGGAAGAUAAUGACGGUACCUGACGAAGAAGCACCGGCUAACUACGUGCCAGCAGCCGCGGUAAUACGGAGGGUGCAAGCGUUAUCCGGAUUGACUGGGUGUAAAGGGGGCGCAGACGGUAAUGCAAGCCAGGAGUGAAAGCCCGGGGCUCAACCCCGGGACUGCAUUUGAAACUGCAUGGCUGGAGUACAGGAGGGGUAGGCGGAAUUCCUGGUGUAGGGGUGAAAUGCGUAGAUAUUAGGAGGAACACCGGUGGCGAAGGCGGCCUGCUGGACUGUAACUGACGUUGAGGCGCGAAAGCGUGGGGAGCAAACAGGAUUAGAUACCCCGGUAGUC
This 440-nucleotide ribosomal RNA is filed under the name uncultured bacterium. Its description in RNAcentral is "partial 16S ribosomal RNA". It matches the Rfam family "Bacterial small subunit ribosomal RNA", at positions 338 to 795 of the family's 1533-position model. The record is from RNAcentral.